Molecule: ribosomal RNA, 445 nt
Filed under: uncultured bacterium
Lineage: Bacteria
Description: partial 16S ribosomal RNA
Rfam family: Bacterial small subunit ribosomal RNA
Source: RNAcentral
CCAGACUCCUACGGGAGGCAGCAGUGGGGAAUAUUGCACAAUGGGGGGAACCCUGAUGCAGCGACGCCGCGUGGGUGAAGAAGUCAUUCGUGACGUAAAGCCCUAUCAGCAGGGAAGAAAAUGACGGUACCUGACUAAGAAGCCCCGGCUGACUACGUGCCAGCAGCCGCGGUAAUACGUAGGUGGCAAGCGUUGUCCGGAUUUACUGGGUGUAAAGGGCGUGUAGCCGGGAAGGCAAGUCAGAUGUGAAAUCCGGAGGCUCAACCUCCGAAUUGCAUUUGAAACUGUUUUUCUUGAGUGCUGGAGAGGCAGACGGAAUUCCUUGUGUAGCGGUGAAAUGCGUAGAUAUAAGGAGGAACACCAGUGGCGAAGGCGGUCUGCUGGACAGCAACUGACGGUGAGGCGCGAAAGCGUGGGGAGCAAACAGGAUUAGAUACCCCCGUAC